AGCACAACAAAGCACAGCAGUUCGGCGGUUAACACGGCACCACCGGCCAGAGUAAAUGGAACCUCACGUCGUCCGAGCGUUGGAAAAAUGGAGGGGUUUUUCCUGCUCGUCCUCAGCUGUCUCGGUGUCUCUCGAGUCACAGCUGAUAGCUUGUCGCCUCCUGUCAAUGUGACCAUCAGAGCACUGAAAGCUAACUCUGCUGUGGUGACAUGGGACAUCCCCGAGGGAGACUUUGUCAUUGGCUUUGCCAUCACACAGCAGAAGAAAGACGUGCGCAUGCUGCGGUUCAUCCAGGAAGUCAACACCACCACACGUUCUUGUGCAUUAUGGGACUUGGAGGAAGAGACAGACUACAUUGUGCAUGUCCAGUCCAUCAGCAUGUCUGGAAUGAGCCCACUGAGCGAACCGUUGCGCUUUCGAACGCCGAAGGAGGCCGAGACUCAGGCCUCUAAGAGUAAAGACGAAGUGACAAUGGAGGAAGUGGGCCAGACCACGCAGCUGAGGGCAGGGGAGCUCAUCAUCAUUGUGGUGGUACUUAUCAUGUGGGCAGGUGUGAUUGCUCUCUUCUGUCGCCAGUAUGACAUAAUUAAAGACAACGAGCCCAACAAUAACAAGGACAAAGCCAAAAACUCCUCAGAGUGCAGCACUCCUGAGCACCCAACGGGGGGGCUGUUGCGUAGUAAGGUAUAACCCACUCCCCUCCUCCUCUCCCUGGGUGCCUCCCUGCAGCGGCGCCGGGCAGUUCCCCAAGAACAACAACAACAGCAGCAGGAUGCCAUCUGUCAAUAUCAUUGAGGUGUGACUGCCAGGACAACUUCUCUUUAUCCAAAAGACUUUGUGUUCUCACAAACAAGCAGGCCCUUUUAAGCCCAUCUGCUCGUCACGAUGAGGCUGGGACUCUAGGCCCCUGGGCCUACUCUUCUUUGGCACAGGGCCUGGCACUGAGGCGGGAUGGCCGUGCUCCCGGGGUGGGGCACAGUGCUGCUCUGAGAGCAGUCGGCAGUGGAGAUACUGUGGGGAGAGUUUAGUGGUUGCACCAUGCUCAAUAACUACUGUACCAUGGGGCAGCAGAGAUGAGGACCAGCUGGCUCCAGCGGUGGAGGGACUGCAGAGAAACCAACCCCAGGGACCAAAGCCAGAGACCUGUUCAUUCUCUCGCUCAUUCAGUCACUGUCAUUCAGUGAAUUAUCAACAACCACAAACCUGAACAUUUCCAAUUACUGGGUGGCACUGAGCUGCAUCCACUUUGUCGAAACCAUCUCCUACUUUAUUCUCAUCUUCACCUAAUUUCUCUAUAACAUCCUGUUUUCUUAAUCAAAGGUAAAUACUGUAGAUGGUUCAAUAGUAUCACUGUAGUUUUACUUCUCUGGUUUUUAACAAGGUGCCACCAGAACAGUCCUGUUGUUCUGGUAUCUUUUUUUAGUUUAGAUGCUCCACUCCUUGGGCAGAAACUUUUCGCCAUCCUGUGGGGAAUGUUUUCCCCCUCAGGACAUCAAGGCUCCACCUGGCCAAUUAAGAGCCAUGUGUUGGAUGUGCUGUGAUGACGCCAGAGCAGCUUUAGAUGGAUUCACUUGGCUCAUAACCAGCGCUGACUCACCCAGUUCAGUUUAGUCCAAGAAGAUGAAAGUCAUAAACUCAUACUGAAAAGCAUCUCUGAUCUGAACACUUAUUUUUGACAUCCACUUACUUUUUCAUGCUUAAGAUUUCUGAAAUGUCACAUUCCACAUCUAGGAUGAACCCUUUAGUGUUUCCUUGUGUCCUUCUCUUUGAGGUUGAUGCAUUUCAAAGCAUUCUGGGAAAGGACAAAGAGACAAACUAAAUAAUGAACUUUAAAAGGGGCUGGACUCUAUGGAUGUCUACAGAGGAGUGGACUAAAGAAAUCCCUUCUAUCAGCAAUAACAGCCCUCGGUGGAGUGUGGGAGCAAGGACCUAAACUCUGUAGCCUCUUUGUCCAAAACUCAACCUCCCAGCAUGCAAUGUUCAGACAGAUGAACAACCCACAGAUCAGAUAUAAGGUGAAUCCCCAUCCCUCCUCUGAACUUUUAGAAAAACGUUUUUCAGCGCUGUUGUAAAAUCGUCUGAUGGCGAGUACUGGGGGGGGG
RNA transcript from Monopterus albus (swamp eel), 2102 nucleotides. It is a transcript of the gene named fibronectin type III domain containing 5a, with no coding region annotated. The record is from RefSeq and is a predicted model, not a curated record. The transcript is spliced from 6 exons. NCBI's taxonomy places the organism in Eukaryota, Metazoa, Chordata, Actinopteri, Synbranchiformes, Synbranchidae.